CCAGCGGGCCGUGACUGGCGCGCUGGGAUGGACCAACCAUCGGGGAGCGGCCCCUGGGCGGGUGAGACCGCGUCCAGACCGAGUGCCGUGCGCCUGGGCCGUACCG
This 106-nucleotide non-coding RNA is filed under the name Streptomyces caeruleatus. RNAcentral describes it as "Streptomyces sp. GIMN4.002 ZMP/ZTP riboswitch aptamer (pfl RNA motif)". It matches the Rfam family "ZMP/ZTP riboswitch aptamer (pfl RNA motif)". From Rfam's summary of the family: Previously known as pfl RNA. ZMP is also known as AICAR. The record is from Rfam by way of RNAcentral. Lineage: Bacteria; Bacillati; Actinomycetota; Actinomycetes; Kitasatosporales; Streptomycetaceae.